CAGAGCCGUACCUCCUCAGAAAGCGCCUGAUCUCAUCCGAGCUCAGAAGCUAAGCAGGGGCGGGUCUGGUUAGCUCUUAGGAGGGAGGCUGCGAAAACAGGUGUGACACUUU
This 112-nucleotide ribosomal RNA is filed under the name Callithrix jacchus (white-tufted-ear marmoset). The record is from RNAcentral. Lineage: Eukaryota; Metazoa; Chordata; Mammalia; Primates; Cebidae.